RNAcentral lists this unclassified non-coding RNA (228 nucleotides) under Hevea brasiliensis (rubber tree). Lineage: Eukaryota; Viridiplantae; Streptophyta; Magnoliopsida; Malpighiales; Euphorbiaceae. The record is from RNAcentral.
AAAAAUAAUAUUUAAUCAUUAUUCAUUUAUUUUAUUAAAUAUUUAAUGUCUUUAGUCAACGACGUUAAUUUUAGACUUAUUUGAUCGACAUUGAGAGGUAAAGGGCCUAUUUAACUGUCAAUUUGUUUGGGGGCUUAUUUGAUUAUUUGAUUUUAGCUUAAGGGUCAAAAGAGGCUUUUUGUCUCUCUAUCUUUUUUUUUUAAGUAAAAUUAGAGCCCUAUGUAAUAU